RNAcentral lists this ribosomal RNA (403 nucleotides) under uncultured bacterium. Its description in RNAcentral is "bacterial SSU rRNA". It matches the Rfam family "Bacterial small subunit ribosomal RNA", at positions 355 to 774 of the family's 1533-position model. The record is from RNAcentral.
UUAGGAAUUUUCCACAAUGGGCGAAAGCCUGAUGGAGCAAUGCCGCGUGCAGGAUGAAGGCCUUCGGGUUGUAAACUGCUUUUAUACGUGACGAAUAUGACGGUAGCGUAUGAAUAAGGAUCGGCUAACUCCGUGCCAGCAGCCGCGGUCAUACGGAGGAUCCAAGCGUUAUCCGGAUUUACUGGGCGUAAAGAGUUGCGUAGGUGGUUUGUUAAGUGAAUAGUGAAAUCUUGUGGCUCAACCAUAAGGCUAUUAUUCAAACUGGCAAACUCGAGAAUGAGAGAGGUCACUGGAAUUCCCUGUGUAGGAGUGAAAUCCGUAGAUAUAGGGAGGAACACCAAUGGCGUAGGCAGGUGACUGGCUCAUUUCUGACACUGAGGCACGAAAGCGUGGGGAGCGAACG